RNAcentral lists this small RNA (1706 nucleotides) under Pongo abelii (Sumatran orangutan). RNAcentral's name for it is "retained intron". The record is from RNAcentral. Lineage: Eukaryota; Metazoa; Chordata; Mammalia; Primates; Hominidae.
AAAAUGUCCAUAUGUCUGAAGCUUCAUACUUGACCUUGGGAUCUCAGAGGGGAAUUGAACUUUCUUCCUUCUGUUUUCCCCUGCUCCCCGCUAUCCUGCUAUGCCCUCAACCCUGAGCGUCUCUAGAGACCUCACUGCAGCCUGGGCAGGGGAAGUGCCUAGGGAUGGGCGCUCAUGGGUAGGCUGUGCUGCUCCUCUCUCACCAUCCCCACCACCACCUCCUGCCCCCAGGGAGAACAGCAGCAACAUCCUGGACAACCUGCUGUCCCGCAUGGAGCAGUACGCGAACAAUCUGGAGGAACUGGUGGAGGAGCGGACCCAGGCGUACCUGGAGGAGAAGCGCAAGGCCGAGGCCCUGCUCUACCAGAUCCUGCCUCACUCAGUGGCUGAGCAGCUGAAGCGUGGGGAGACGGUGCAGGCCGAAGCCUUUGACAGCGUUACCAUCUACUUCAGUGACAUUGUGGGUUUCACAGCGCUGUCGGCGGAGAGCACGCCCAUGCAGGUGGUGACCCUGCUCAAUGACCUGUACACUUGCUUUGAUGCUGUCAUAGACAACUUUGAUGUGUACAAGGUGGAGACAAUUGGCGAUGCCUACAUGGUGGUGUCGGGGCUCCCUGUGCGGAAUGGGCGGCUGCACGCCUGCGAAGUAGCCCGCAUGGCCCUGGCGCUGCUGGAUGCUGUGCACUCCUUCCGAAUCCGCCACCGGCCCCAGGAGCAGCUGCGCUUGCGCAUUGGCAUCCACACAGGACCUGUGUGUGCUGGAGUGGUGGGACUGAAGAUGCCCCGUUACUGUCUCUUUGGGGAUACAGUCAACACAGCCUCAAGAAUGGAAUCUAAUGGGGAAGCCCUGAAGAUCCACUUGUCUUCUGAGACAAAGGCUGUCCUGGAGGAGUUUGGUGGUUUCGAGCUGGAGCUUCGAGGGGAUGUGGAAAUGAAGGUAGAGGGAGAAGCCUCUGCCCUCCCCACCUUUUGGGGUCCUAGAGGGAGUUACCCUUCUCAAGCAGCCAAUGCCACUCCCAUCCCUAAGGCUCUCAUCUGACUGGGGAAAGGGCAUGUGCCACUCCCCAGCCCAUCCUCUUUUUUCCCUCCAGGGCAAAGGCAAAGUUCGGACCUACUGGCUCCUGGGGGAGCGGGGGAGUAGCACCCGAGGCUGACCUGCCUCCUCUCCUAUCCCUCCACACCUCUCUACCCUGUGCCAGAAGCAACAGAGGUGCCAGGCCUCAGCCUCGCCCACAGCAGCCCCAUCGCCAAAGGAUGGAAGUAGUUUGAAUAGCUCAGGUGUGCUGACCCCAGUGAAGACACCAGAUAGGACCUCUGAGAGGGGACUGGCGUGGGGGGAUCUCAGAGCUUACAGGGAGCCAAGCCCACGGCCAUGCACAGGGACACUCACACAGGCACACGCACUUGCUCUCCACCUGGACUCAGGCCGGGCUGGGCUGUGGAUUCCUGAUUCCCUCCCCUCCCCAUGCUCUCCUCCCUCAGCCUUGCUACCCUGUGACUUACUGGGAGGAGAAAGAGUCACCUGAAGGGGAACAUGAAAAGAGUCUAGGUGAAGAGAGGGCAGGGGAGCCCACAUCUGGGCCUGGCCCACAAUACCUGUUCCCCCGACCCCCUCCACCCAGCGGUAGACACAGUGCACAGGGGAGAAGAGGGGUGGCGCAGAAGGGUUGGGGGCCUGUAUGCCUUGCUUCUACUGUGAGCAGAGA